UACGUAGGGGGCGAGCGUUGUCCGGAUUUAUUGGGCGUAAAGAGCGUGUAGGCGGCCAGGUAGGUCCGUUGUGAAAACUCGAGGCUCAACCUCGAGACGUCGGCGGAAACCCUCUGGCUAGAGUCCGGAAGAGGAGAGUGGAAUUCCUGGUGUAGCGGUGAAAUGCGCAGAUAUCAGGAGGAACACCGGUGGCGAAGGCGGGUCUCUGGGCCGAUACUGACGCUGAGGAGCGAAAGCGUGGGGAGCGAACAGG
This 253-nucleotide ribosomal RNA is filed under the name uncultured bacterium. RNAcentral describes it as "partial 16S ribosomal RNA". It matches the Rfam family "Bacterial small subunit ribosomal RNA", at positions 524 to 776 of the family's 1533-position model. The record is from RNAcentral.